This 3950-nucleotide long non-coding RNA is filed under the name Nicotiana tabacum (common tobacco). Its description in RNAcentral is "long non-coding RNA (NTAB_LNC003277)". The record is from RNAcentral. Lineage: Eukaryota; Viridiplantae; Streptophyta; Magnoliopsida; Solanales; Solanaceae.
AACUUUUAAGCUUUCCUAUUACAAUUUGGAUAUGCUUUACAAGCUCAAUCACUAUAUGAUGUAGGCAACUUGAUACUCCUUAAGUCCAUUCACCAAACUGAAGGAUGAGUUGUUUGAAUUCUUGAAGAGACGCUUAAUUCUGAUUUAAAGUUCUACCAUUUGAAGACGAAUUUGUAACUGAAAUGUUCCUUGUUCCAAUUAUGGUGGGUCUUUAACUUUCAGAAGCUACUGCUUUUAAUUCUCUUCAUUCUUUUACUAUUUUCAUUUGCCAUAUACGAAUCCAAGUUGCUUACUCUUUGUUAUAUUUGAUUUCAUUCCUAUGUAAGGUUUUCAUAACAUACUUUUUAACUUAGUGUGUAAGCUGAAGUUUUUUUGUUCGCACUGUCUUUUCUACUCUUCCUCUUCACGCUUAUCCAGAUGUGGUGAAAGGUAUAUGGGCAAAGGAUUAUGCUGAGAUAAACUUAACAUCAUCCUGGAUAAGGUGAGAAACAAGAGAACACCAAUCUGGUGGUUUAAUUUUUUUAAUAUUUCAUAUAUCCUAUUGAGUGAAUUAGAUCGUCUGAUGUGGAGAUACACAAGUGAUACAAAUACUUGAAAUAGGUUGCUAAAACAUAGGUUCUCUAUUAGGGUAAUAGUGACCCAACAUUCUCUCUCUCUCUCUCUCCGUGUAUAUAUAUAUAUAUAUAUAUAUCUUCAAUCCCUCAUUAACGGUCAUCUCCCUUCUCAUCUUCCUUGUGCCAUCACCGGCGGUCACCGAAAUCACAAGUAAGUUUUUUUCGCUCUAUAUUUUUUUUUCUCUCUCCUUUCCUCUCUAUUUCCUCCUUCCCUUCCACCUUUCUUUUCCCCCUUCUUCUUUACACCCCUCACUGCCCCUUUUUUCACCUCCCCCCACCCUCAAAUUUGCCCCUAUUUUCUUCCCCUCCCUCGCUCUUUCUCCAUUUUCUCAUUCCAUAUUCUUUCAUUUUUCUGUCCAUCCCCAGUUCGCCCCGCUUUCUUCAAGAUUGCGACGUCCCAGAUCUGGGCUAAGGAGCAUCACCUCCGCUCUCUAGAUAUCCUCUUUUUCCCUCUUAGAGCGGGCCCGACGGUCGUAUGCAGACACCAACUCGACAGCGAUGACCAGCGGCGGCAGAGGCAUGUGGCGGAGUGUGGAAGGACAGAAAUUGACACAGGCGGGUGUAAUAACAAUGUUUUGACAUCCAAAUCGGUAAUCCAGGUUCUGAUCACCCAGAGUGGGUACCUCCAGAUAUCCUGUCUCCCCUUUGUUUUCCUUUCUAGUAAGUUGCAUAAUUGCAUUAGUUAGUUUUAGUACAAUGCCUAUUUACUUUUCUGCAAUAUUGUUUGGCUCAUUAGCUUUAGUAGAAUUCUUAUUUUCCCGCUUGAAGUUUUAUUUUGGUUCUUAAGCUUUCUAAUUUGUAGCUUAUAUUUUUUUGUUUAUGCUAUUUGAUAUUUUAGUGUUAGCUGUGAGCAUGUAAUUUUUGCCUUAUGUGAAUUACUCCCAUAAAAUACAAGAAAAAUAAAUUUUUCUAUUAAUUACAAUAUUGUAGGAUUUUGUGAGAAUUUGCGCUAAUUGUUUGCAUUUCUGUGCAUGUUUAUUUCUAUUUAAAUCAUGAAAAGUACAAAAAAAAAGCAUCAUGCAUCACAUUUAGGUUAUUCUACAGUUCCAGGAUUAAUUAAUCAGUUAUUUGUUUUGUUAAAAUUGAAAAGCACAAAAUUGGUUCAUUUUUACAAUUAUUGUCUUUAAUUUUAGAUUGUUGAUGUUUCUCUUUUAAUUUAGGAUCAGAUAAUGUUUAUAAAUUUUGCACUUUGAUAAUUAGUUUAAUUUCACAACUCGGACUAAUUUGGGGUAAUUUAUAUUUUUUAUUAAUUUAGGAAGAAGAAAAAGAAAAAGGAAAAAAAUUGAAAAGGAAAAGGAAUUAAUUAUAAAACAAAGAGAAGGAAAGUUUGAAUUUGUUUUAAAACCCAAAAUUGGGCCAAUUUGGUGGAAACCCAAACUAUUCUGUGGCCCAGGGCAACCAGGUCCAAACCUCAUACCCGGUCCAAAGCCUUCAGUCCAUGAGACCCUGAAACGACGUAGUAUAGGAGGAAUACUACGUCAUUUUGAGUUCGUUAGUGUUAAAUUAUUCCUGGUCCUUCAUUUUAUAUGAUCUAAUGGCCCUAAAGACUUCCCCCAUUUUAAUUAAAAUUGUCCAAACGCUUCAUAUUAACCUAGGAUCUCUGCUCUUCAUCUCCCUCACACCCUGUAUCUCACCACUGUUCGCCGCCCACCAGAAAUCGCCAGCGACAACGGUUGACCUCAAAACCCCUUAAAAUCUUAACCAUGUAACCUCUGGUGCACCUCCAUUCCAAAUCCACCCUUGUUUUCUCUCCCAAACCACCCAUUCUCUCCAGAUCAGAGAUCGAAGUUAGCACUGAAAAUCCUUUCACCCUUUUUCUUCUGAUUUUCGCCUACUCUAGUUUCUUUUUGGUGUUAAAACGUGUGAAUCAACCAGUUUCGAUGUGAAAAAGCCAAUUGGUUGAGGGAUCGAUCUGUGUAUGGUGUCCAAGUUUGGUCAACAGUCUCUGAUAGGCCCUUAUCUCAAUUUCCUCUUCGUUCUUGACUCGUGAUGGGGAUUGUGACAAAGAGCACAAGCCAUGGAAGAAAUUCCGGCUAGUGCUCAAUGUUACAGUUCACACCAUGUGGUUGAGAUUCUUCACGCCGGAUGCCAUCAUCUGUGAGCCAUCAAUCUAGCCGGUACUUUUCUUCUUCUUCAUCUCAGUCGGGUUUAGAAAUCGCAGGUUUUUCAGUCGUUUAAUUAGGUAAUAAUAAUAGGUUAAGAAGCAAUAAAUUCUCUGUUAGCAUUUGUUAAUUUUCCUUUUUCCUUUUUACUUCUUUUUUUAUUAUUAUUCUUAUUCUGCUUCGUUAAGAAGAUCUCAUGUUACUAGAAUUCAGAAAUGAGUUAUUUUGGUUUUCUUAUUUUUCUUGUGAAUUUAUUGGUUUAGACUUGAACUUGGGUUUGCUAGUAGCCCAAAAAACUGGUUGAAGUUCAUUUGGUGCAGAAGCCCAAAGACAUUUGGACGGUUUGAUCCAAUGUCUAUGUUAAAGUAAUUACCAGCCUUAUAAAGGGUAGUUUAGAAAAUUUAAUAAGGGGAAUCUUACUUAAACCGCUUAGAAAAUUUCCAAGAAGGUGGGAUUGGGGGUAGAUUAACAAACAGAUUUUAACUACAGGGUCCAAAAUAAAAAAAUAAAAAUUGGGGAAAGGGUAAAUGGUGAAGUAUAGAAUCAGAUUUUGUUGCCCUAGGAGCUGGUUAUAUAAGGUUCAUUUUCUUUCAUUUAUAAGCAGAGAUUAGAGACCUGAAAAGGGAGCAAACGGUUGAAACCAUACACAUUGAUAUAAGUCCCAAAAUUAGAAAGAAAAAAAGAUACAAAAAAAUCAUCAAGUACAGUUCUAUUGUAGCCGGUUUGUUGAUAUUUCUUGGGUUUUAAAAGCUAGGGUAAUUUGUUGUUUACUUCUGGGUUCCAAAACAUGAAAAGCUGAUUGAUGAACUGAUGUUGGUUGUUGUUUUAAGAUCUGCUGAGAUUGUUAGUUCUUUGCUGAAUUAUUGUGACUAUUUUGGUUGUUUCAGGUAUGUUUCAAACUUUGAAAGUGCAAAAUGAAGUUGGAGAUGCAAUGUGUUUAAAUGAAAUUAGGCUUCCCUUCCAGAUUUUCUCUUCUUUUGUUUAGCAUUACAUGUAUUAAUUAGUUUGAUAGUCAAAGUUUCUAGUUGUAAUUAAUGUCAACAUCAACACCCUAUUCCCUAGUAAGAUUCAGAAUUCGAGUGUUAAAAAUCUAAAUCUGUACAGUAUUCUAUUUUGGAACUGUGUUAAACUAUGGUUGGUAAGGCUGCCAUAUGAGUCUAGGCAGCUGAAUAUUUUUGACAUGUUUGGCAUGAAAUCAAUGAAUAUUCAUGCUUAAAGGAAUGGAAUUAGACAG